This 446-nucleotide ribosomal RNA is filed under the name uncultured bacterium. RNAcentral describes it as "partial 16S ribosomal RNA". It matches the Rfam family "Bacterial small subunit ribosomal RNA", at positions 338 to 795 of the family's 1533-position model. The record is from RNAcentral.
CCUACGGGGUGCAGCAGUCGAGAAUCAUUCACAAUGGGGGAAACCCUGAUGGUGCGACGCCGCGUGGGGGAAUGAAGGUCUUCGGAUUGUAAACCCCUGUCAUGUGGGAGCAAAUUAAAAAGAUAGUACCACAAGAGGAAGAGACGGCUAACUCUGUGCCAGCAGCCGCGGUAAUACAGAGGUCCCAAGCGUUGUUCGGAAUCACUGGGCGUAAGGCGUGCGUAGGCUGUUUCGUAAGUCGUGUGUGAAAGGCGCGGGCUCAACCCGCGGACUGCACAUGAUACUGCGAGACUAGAGUAAUGGAGGGGGAACCGGAAUUCUCGGUGUAGCAGUGAAAUGCGUAGAUAUCGAGAGGAACACUCGUGGCGAAGGCGGGUUCCUGGACAUUAACUGACGCUGAGGCACGAAGGCCAGGGGAGCGAAAGGGAUUAGAUACCCUAGUAGUC